This is a long non-coding RNA of Anneissia japonica, 185 nucleotides long. RefSeq lists it as uncharacterized. The transcript has 2 exons. The record is from RefSeq and is a predicted model, not a curated record. Lineage: Eukaryota; Metazoa; Echinodermata; Crinoidea; Comatulida; Comatulidae.
GGGAUGUUUUGAUGCUGUAAAGCUGCAGGGGGACAAGUACGCAGUACCUUUAGCGAUAGUUGGUAUUCUUCAUGCAUUUUUAGUGCUUAUUAGCUUGAUCGUCGCUUACUGUUUCUACCGAAGGAUGUAGCAGUGGGUUUGUAAGCUAUAACCAACAACAGCAGUGUGUAUAACAUUAACUUGCU